Long non-coding RNA from Xiphophorus couchianus (Monterrey platyfish), 1038 nucleotides. RefSeq lists it as uncharacterized. The record is from RefSeq and is a predicted model, not a curated record. The transcript is spliced from 2 exons. NCBI's taxonomy places the organism in Eukaryota, Metazoa, Chordata, Actinopteri, Cyprinodontiformes, Poeciliidae.
UGAUUUUGUGAAUGAAAAACUGAGCUCCUGCAUUACAAACAUGAACGACUAUAUGGCUGACGUGAAAUUUUGGCUGAUGUUCUCAAACCAAACCAAAACAAAACAUUUACUGAGCACCGUAUACCACUUCAAAGAAGUUCAGCGAAGUGGCGUUUGGCCCAAAGGUAUGUGGAUGUGAACUUCGCUGAGCUAGAGAGAGCUUUACUUGCUCCACAUCCUUCCUAUGGUAGUUGCUGUGCGGAGCUGUGGUCUGUUUCCUGACCUGAGGAUGGGCCGGAUGGAGUGCUGGCACUUCAAGGACGGGUCCUUGAGUUCUUGGAUGUCUCUAUGGAGCCAGCGAGAUUAUUUAACUCCAACCUUUUCAUCUGACACAGCAGAGACAUCCGAGCCAUCCUUCAUGAGGGGCAUUGUUGCCGUUGUCUGGAUCAGCAGUAUGAUGGAUGUACAAGGGCUCCCCCGGCUCUGAGGGCAGAGCUAGCAAAGAAUCUGGGGUCACUGGUGGUUUUAUUUUUGUUGUAACAGUCUCCAGUCUUUAAGUGGAGAUAGAGCACCUUGUUGAUUUGCACCAUACCCCUGGCUCUGGAUAGUAAAGAUGUGUGGGAUCGAUUACACUGGCCUGAACCUGCAUUCUGUUUCUUCUCCACCAGAAGUUGAUCGUCCCUCAGAGCUUAUGCAAGAUCUGGCUGUUAAUGAACAAGCUGCACCUGACACUCCAUCUCCAAAGUGCACAACCCUACUACCCUUUUUUGUACUCUUGAGUUUACACUGGUUUUCAAUUUGCAAAGAUCCCUGCCCGUGAAAUAAAACAGAGCUGACAGCAGCUCACCGCGGGGCCCGUCUGUUACACUCUCGGUUGAAGAUAUCCCUUUACACUCUGAAGACUCCCCUGAGGUGAUGGAUGUAUGGGUGGAGUGGGGUUAUCGGGAUCUGGACGAGCCUGGAAGAUCUCCAUGCAAUUCAUUGGAGACACCUUUAUAUCUCACUCUCUGAAUGAAUAACUGCAGGCUCUUAAUAAAAUAAGACACUCCCAAAACUCAG